Molecule: long non-coding RNA, 1134 nt
Filed under: Pan troglodytes (chimpanzee)
Lineage: Eukaryota; Metazoa; Chordata; Mammalia; Primates; Hominidae
Description: lincRNA
Source: RNAcentral
ACCUCUAGCCAGGGACGCGCGCUCGGUCCCCCGCCGUGCGCCCCCGGUCCCGCGCCCAGGCUCCCGCCCCUGGCCUCCUUACCAGCCACUUGUCGCCCAGCUGCGAACUGGAGCGGGAGGCGGCGGCCGAAGGGCCCAGGACAGCCCCGGGAGGGCGGCGAGGCGGAGCAGGAGCGCCCCGGCUCCGGCCACAUUCUCAGAGUCAGGAAAAGGGGCGAGAGGCCACAUGUCUCCCUCUCGCCAAACUGAAAACGAAACGGCGCUCCAGCAGAUUGGGUGGAAAGAGCUGUGUCUGUUUUCUCUGUUUUUCACGCUAGAAAGGGCUUGUAAACAUUGUUCCUUUUAAAAUGACCUACCCCGGGAGGUUUGGGCACACUUCUGUCCUGGGGUCAUCGUUCGUAGGUGGCUUCGGACCUGGGACUUUGAUUUCCUGUAUCUGCACAUUGUCGUUUUAUACACAAUUGCCAAGGUAGGACUGCUUUCAACUUUACUGUGCUUGAAGCUGCAAAGGUUCUGCCCUGAUGUUUCCUGGAAUAAUGCUGAGGACUGCCUUUCGGGUAGCCUCCCUAUUCAGUUCACUUCAUCUCGGAAAUACCUGACCCCUGCCUUGGAUCCAGCGGCCCUCCUGAGAGCUGAGGAAGGAGGAAAUCCUACAUGUCUGCUCCCGGAGCUGCCACAACCCAUCUUCCCACAACUCGGAACUUGGAAAAAGGAACCCAGGACACGACUUUGCUUUUCUUUUGGACCUAGUUGGUGAUUAUACUCUGUCUCCCAUGGAGACCACGUCUUGCAUCCUUCCUUCUAUAUGGGAUUUAGGAUAGAAAUUAAAAAGAAAACAUAUUAUUUUGAGUCUUGAUUUGGAGAAAGGUAGUAUUCAGGAGGAAGUAGGCUAUGAUACACAUAGAAAAUUUGAGGACAGUGUUACUUAACAAGGACAUUUCUGUCUCUGCAGAAGUCACAGCUUGGAGGAAACCAGUUUGCACUGUUUGAGGAGGAAUUUGGCCACCAAACCACUGAUACUUUCCCAAAGGUUUGGCAGAAAUUGUUUUUUGAGUGGCUCACCAGAGUACCUAGAAGAAUCAGCAUGGAAUUAGAGGACAGUGGCCUACCCUAAAUAAAGACAUGAGUGAUGUG